RNAcentral lists this non-coding RNA (30 nucleotides) under Mus musculus (house mouse). The record is from RNAcentral. Lineage: Eukaryota; Metazoa; Chordata; Mammalia; Rodentia; Muridae.
UGGUGAUUUUAGGGAUACUCAAGGCCACAC